GACGAACGCUGGCGGCGUGCUUAACACAUGCAAGUCGAACGGUAAGGCCCUGCUUUUGUGGGGUGCUCGAGUGGCGAACGGGUGAGUAACACGUGAGUGACCUGCCCUUGACUUUGGGAUAACUUCAGGAAACUGGGGCUAAUACCGGAUAGGAGCUCUUGAGCCAGGGGGGGGGUUGGAAAGUUUCGGCGGUUGGGGUUGGUCUCGCGGCUUACCAGCUUGUUGGUGGGGUAGUGGCUUACCAAGGCUUUGACGGGUAGCCGGCCUGAGAGGGUGACCGGCCACAUUGGGACUGAGAUACGGCCCAGACUCCUACGGGAGGCAGCAGUGGGGAAUAUUGCACAAUGGGCGGAAGCCUGAUGCAGCAACGCCGCGUGCGGGAUGACGGCCUUCGGGUUGUAAACCGCUUUCGCCUGUGACGAAGCGUGAGUGACGGUAAUGGGUAAAGAAGCACCGGCUAACUACGUG
RNAcentral lists this ribosomal RNA (468 nucleotides) under uncultured bacterium. RNAcentral's name for it is "partial 16S ribosomal RNA". It matches the Rfam family "Bacterial small subunit ribosomal RNA", at positions 28 to 507 of the family's 1533-position model. The record is from RNAcentral.